GAACAUAGAGGUGCAUAAGUCUCUUUGGAUUGUUUAUUUCCAGUUCUUUGGAUAAAUACCAAGUAGUGGGAUAACUGGGUCAUAAGGUAUUUCAAUUUUUAAUUUUUUGUGAAAUCUCCAUACUGUUUUCCAUAGUGGCUGCACCAGUUUGCAUUCCCACCAGCAGUGUAUGAAGGUUGCUUUUCUCCAUAUCCUCUCCAACAUUUGAUAUUUUUUGUCUUGGUAAUUCUAGCCAUUCUAACAGGUGUAAGGUGAUAUCUCAUGGUAGUUUUGAAUUGCAUUUCUUUAGUAAUUAGUGAUAUUGAACAACUUUCCAUGUGGCCUUGCUAUCUGUAUAUCUUCUUUGGAAAAAUAUCUAUUCAUUUUCUCUCCCCAUUCUUUUAUUGGGUUGUUUGUUUUGUUAUUGUUGAGUUGUAUGAGUUCCUCAUAUAUUUUAGAUAUAUAUAUAUAAACUUAUACAUUAUAUAUAUUAUAUAUCCAUAUAUAUUAUACAUAUAUAUAUAUAUUAACUUCUUGUCAAUAUGUGAUUUGCAAAUAUCUUCUCCCAGUUGGUGGGUUGUCUUUUUGUUUUGUUUCUGGUUUCUUAUGACUUGCAGAAGUACUUUAGUCUGAUGAAGUCCCAUUUGUUUAUUUCUACUCUUGUUUCCUUGCCUGAGUAGACAUGGUAUUCAAAAAGAUACUUCUAAAACUGAUGUCAAAGUGUGUACUACCUGUAUUUUCUUCUGAGUUUUAUAGUUUCACAUCUUACUUUCAAAUUUUUAAUACAUUUUGAGUUAAUUUCUGUGUAUGGUGAGAGAUAAUGGUCUACUUUCAUUCCUUUGCAUGUGGCUGUCCAGUUUUCCCAACACUAUUUAUUGAAGAAACUUUCCUUUAUCCAUUGUAUGUUCUUAGCUCCUUUUUCAAAGAUUAGCUGUCUAUAGAUGUGUGGUUUUAUUUCUGGCCUUCCAGUUCUGUUGCAGUGAUCCACGUGUAUGCUUUUGUACCAGUACCAUGCUGUUUUGAUUACUAUAGUUUUCUAGCAUACUUUGAAGUCAGAGAUUAUGAUGCCUCUGGAUUUGUUCUUUAUUCUCAAGAUUGCUUUAGCUAUUCAGAGUCCUUUGUUGUCCCCUAUGAAUUUUAGGAUUCUUUGUUGCAUUUCCAUGAAGAACGUCAUUGAGAUUGUGAUGAAUCCAUAGAUUACUUUAAGUAGUAUGGACAUUUAAACUUUGUUUAUUCUUCCAAUCCAUGUUUAUAGAAUAUCAUUCAAUUUCUUUGUGUCACCGGUGAUUUUUUUAAAACAAUGUCUUAUAAUUUUCAUUGCAUAGGUAUUUCACAUCCUGGCUUACAUUUAUUCAUAGAUAUUUUAAUCUUUUUGAUGAGAUUGUAAGUGGGAUUGUAUUCUUGAGUUCUCUUUCUUUAGAUUUGUUAAUGAAGUAUAGAAACACAAUUGAUUUUUGUAACUUGAUGUUGUACCUUGCAACUUUGCUGUAGUUGUUGAUUAUUUCUAAUAUUUUUCCAAUGGAUUCUUUCAGAUUUUCUGUAAAUAAAAUCAUGUCAUCUGCAAGUAGUGAGAAUUUCACUUCUUACCUGUCACUUGGAUGCCAUUUACUUCUUUUUCUUGCCUAAUUGCUUUGGCCAAAACUUCCAGUGUUGUGUUGAAUAAAAGUGGUGAGAGUGGACACCCUUGUCUUGUUCUUGUUCUCAGAUUGAUGGCUUUCAGUGUUUCCUCAUUGAGUAUGAGUUUGUUUCCUUAAUAGAGAAACCUCAGUCCUUUUGAACAUAGAAAAUUAUUUUAACAGACAUAGAUAUUCUGUCCUAAAGGUAAACUUACCAAAGUGAAAGAAAAACCUUGUAUAACCUCUUUAUCAAGAGCAGACUAACACUCCAGGAAAAUUAUCCAUUUAAGAGAGAGAGAAAACCAAAUUUUAAUUUUUGCAUCAGCUUAUUUUUGACACUAAAAUUCAUUUACUUGGGGUCAAGACAAUGUAUGAAGAAUUUAAAGAAAAUGAGAAAAUGCUAAAUUCUUGGGUUUGAAAUAACUGGCCUGUAAAAAUGUGUCUAUGUAUGUGGAAGUAUGUGUGUGUGUGCAUACAGUAUGCCCCAUAAUUAUGCCUUUGUGAAGCUUUUCUAACAUCACAAAUGUAAAUGAUACUAAUAUAAAACACAUUAUUUGGAGAUUUAAUUAUAUUUUCAUUGUAAUUAUUUUAAAUAAUAGCAAAUGGUUAGUUUGAAUUUUUCUGCCACUCGUUCUGAGUGAAAAUGGCAAAGAUUGAUGGAAACAAUAAAAAUUAAAUAUUCAAAAUUAAAUAAGUAUAAAAUAAAGUUCUGCUUCUGGAUAGAUGAAAGUAGAAAACUUAUUACGGGGGACGGCCUAUUGGCAGACUGUUUAAGUUUGCAUGCUCCACUUUAGUGGCCGAGGGUUCACAGGUUCAGAUCCCAGGUGUGGACCUAGCACUGCUCAUCAAGCCACACUGUGGCAGCAUCCUACAUAAAAUAGAGAAAGAUUGGCACAGAUAUUAGUUCAGUGACAAUCUUCCUCAAGCAAAAGAAGGAAGAUUGGCAAUGGAAGUUAGCACAGGGCCAAUAUCCCUCAGAAAAAGAAAAAUUAUUAUGUGGGAAAAUGAAGCAGAGAUUUGCACAACAUGGAUGAAGCUGAAGGGCAUUAUUCUCAAUGAAAUAAACCAGAGAAAGAAAGACAAACACUGCAUGAUAUCACUUAUAUGUGAAAUCUAAAAAAAAAAAGGUCAAACUUACAUAAACAGAAAGUAGAAAGGUAGCUGUCAGGGGCAAUGGGGUGGGGGGAAAAAGGGAGAAGCAGGUAAAAGGGGACAAACUUUCAACUCUAAUGUCAAGAGCUUCUGAGGGUCUAACAUCUGACGUGGUGUCUAGAGUUGAGAACACUGAAUUGUACAAUUGAAAUCAGCUAAGAGAGAAGCACUUCAAUGUUCUCACACACACAAAGUCAAUAUGUGAGGUGAAAAAAUAUUGGAGUUGAGGACAGAGGAGAAUCAGGGUAUGAAUCCCUGGGAACCAGCCCAAAUUGCCAGGAGAACUUCAGACUUUCAAAGGCCAUGAGAUAGGUGGGUUCAAACCAAGAAUCCAGGAGACGCAGGGAACCGGGUGACAUCUGGCUUCCAGGUGGAAGGAAUACAAAACUAGCUAAGGUCUAGAAGGCCCAGGAGGGUGGAGGGAGGCAGUUGUAGGUCAGUUGGUGGCGGAGGGGCUGUGGUCCAAUCUGCUUCCCUGCUGUCCCCUCCCCCCCCUCAGAAGCCCUUGUGACACGGCCACAGUUCCAUGAUGAGGACGUGGGGUUCUAAUCUCCAAGUCACUCCCAGUGCUCAGUUGCCUGAGAGUAGAACUGUAUUUGAGAUAUGGAAACUCCUAUCUUAUAUGUAAAAAGCAUUGUUGCUACCUGGUUGAGCUCCAGUUCCACUUCCUGGGUGAUUGGGACCAUCCUCUGCAUCCUGUGUGGACUGGGGCUCUUCCUCCUGUUCCUUCCCUCCAUAGGAAUUCGUCCUUACAACCACCUUACAAAAGGAGAAAGGUCAGGAAGCAUCAAGUGGAGCCGAGAGGGAGGAGCAGCAGGAACAGGAAGAAAAGGGAAGCUUUGAAAGCUCACAGAGCUGGCCGGAAGGACCUGGCAGAAGUGGGGGGCCUGAUGUCCUUUUCGUAAAGGAGUAUGAAAUGAACAAUGCCAAAGGAUGAAGACGCACCUUGUGGAUAAUCACAAAGUGGAAGCACAAGGCUCUUUACGGACCCUGAGAACAAAGCUGGCUGACAUGAAGCCUGACCUUAAGAAGACUGCCGUCAGAGCUGAAGCCCUUGGCACCUCAAGGGCUCCCCAGCUUAGCGCUAUUUGGGAUUUGGCAAGCCAUUCCUGCAAGAAGUCAAUGAUGACCUUUAGAAUUUGUGGGUAUAGUUGGUUGAAGUAAAUCAAUGUGCUGUUUGUGUUGACUUUCCCUUCCGGGAAUUGGAGGAAAUUCCUUCUGGCAUCACUUGGUUGCCUAGUCAAUCCCUGAUUUUAGAAUCAGAGACAUUGUUCUCUGUCUCCCUGUUCUGUGUCUGAGGACUGCUCCCUGACCUCCAUCCAGCUGUCAUCCUACACUCCAGCCCAAGUAGGUACAUGCAGACCUCACUUUGGGCUGGACCUCCUCCUGGUUAGACCCCUGUCUGUGCCCUCUCACUUUGAUUGGACCUCUGGACGUUGAUCCCUGGCCUGUUCCAUCUGAGCGUGUGUGUGCUUUAUAACAAAUCUAGACCUUGCUGCUCCAAUUCCCUGGACUUCUGACCUGGUUUUAUUUGUCUUCCAGCUUGCCCUGACCUCUGAGACCUACAUCUUAACCUGACAGUCAAGCCUUUUCUAAUUCUGUGACUUUUAUACAAAGCACACUUUCUAGCUAGUUCUUCC
Equus caballus (horse) is the source of this 4387-nucleotide long non-coding RNA. The record is from Ensembl. Lineage: Eukaryota; Metazoa; Chordata; Mammalia; Perissodactyla; Equidae.